CCUACGGGUGGCAGCAGUGAGGAAUAUUGGUCAAUGGUCGCGAGCCUGAACCAGCCAAGUAGCGUGAAGGAUGACUGCCCUACGGGUUGUAAACUUCUUUUAUAAAGGAAUAAAGUGUGGCACGCGUGCCUUUUUGUAUGUACCUUAUGAAUAAGGAUCGGCUAACUCCGUGCCAGCAGCCGCGGUAAUACGGAGGAUCCGAGCGUUAUCCGGAUUUAUUGGGUUUAAAGGGAGCGUAGAUGGGUUGUUAAGUCAGUUGUGAAAGUUUGCGGCUCAACCGUAAAAUUGCAAUUGAUACUGGCAGCCUUGAGUACAGGUGAGGUAGGCGGAAUGCGUGGUGUAGCGGUGAAAUGCUUAGAUAUCACGAAGAACUCCGAUUGCGAAGGCAGCUUACUAAACUGCCACUGACAUUGAUGCUCGAAAGUGUGGGUAUCAAACAGGAUUAGAUACCCCUGUAGUC
This 460-nucleotide ribosomal RNA is filed under the name uncultured bacterium. RNAcentral describes it as "partial 16S ribosomal RNA". It matches the Rfam family "Bacterial small subunit ribosomal RNA", at positions 338 to 795 of the family's 1533-position model. The record is from RNAcentral.